CAGCAGCCGCGGGAAUACGAAGGGGGCUAGCGUUGUUCGGAUUUACUGGGCGUAAAGCGCACGUAGGCGGAUCGAUCAGUCAGGGGUGAAAUCCAGAGCUCAACUCUGGAACUGCCUUUGAUACUGUCGAUCUGGAGUAUGGAAGAGGUGAGUGGAAUUCCGAGUGUAGAGGUGAAAUUCGUAGAUAUUCGGAGGAACACCAGUGGCGAAGGCGGCUACCUGGUCCGAUACUGACGCUGAGGCGCGAAAGCGUGGGGAGCAAACAGGAUUAGAUACCCCAGUAGUCCCUGUCUCUUAUACA
RNAcentral lists this ribosomal RNA (301 nucleotides) under uncultured bacterium. Its description in RNAcentral is "partial 16S ribosomal RNA". It matches the Rfam family "Bacterial small subunit ribosomal RNA", at positions 509 to 808 of the family's 1533-position model. The record is from RNAcentral.